Molecule: ribosomal RNA, 470 nt
Filed under: uncultured bacterium
Lineage: Bacteria
Description: partial 16S ribosomal RNA
Rfam family: Bacterial small subunit ribosomal RNA
Source: RNAcentral
GACGAACGCUGGCGGCGUGCUUAACACAUGCAAGUCGAACGGUGAACGAGGGAGCUUGCUCCCUCCAGAUCAGUGGCGAACGGGUGAGUAACACGUGAGCAAUCUGCCCCGAACUCUGGGAUAAGCGUUGGAAACGACGUCUAAUACCGGAUACGACGCGGGAGGGCAUCCUCUCCGCGUGGAAAGAACUUCGGUUCGGGAUGAGCUCGCGGCCUAUCAGCUUGUUGGUGAGGUAACGGCUCACCAAGGCGACGACGGGUAGCCGGCCUGAGAGGGUGACCGGCCACACUGGGACUGAGACACGGCCCAGACUCCUACGGGAGGCAGCAGUGGGGAAUAUUGCACAAUGGGCGCAAGCCUGAUGCAGCAACGCCGCGUGAGGGACGACGGCCUUCGGGUUGUAAACCUCUUUUAGCAGGGAAGAAGCGAAAGUGACGGUACCUGCAGAAAAAGCACCGGCUAACUACGUG